This 253-nucleotide ribosomal RNA is filed under the name uncultured bacterium. Its description in RNAcentral is "partial 16S ribosomal RNA". It matches the Rfam family "Bacterial small subunit ribosomal RNA", at positions 524 to 776 of the family's 1533-position model. The record is from RNAcentral.
UACGUAGGGACCAAGCGUUGUUCGGAUUUACUGGGCGUAAAGGGCGCGUAGGCGGCAAUUCAAGUCAUCUGUGAAAUCUCCGGGCUUAACUCGGAACGGUCAGAUGAUACUGCUUUGCUAGAGUACAGAAGGGGCAAUCGGAAUUCUUGGUGUAGCGGUGAAAUGCGUAGAUAUUGGAAAGACCACCGAUGGCGAAGGCACUCUACUGGGCCAUUACUGACACUGAGAGACGAAAGCUAGGGGAGCAAAUGGG